CCUACGGGAGGCUGCAGUGAGGAAUAUUGGUCAAUGGCCGGAAGGCUGAACCAGCCAAGCCGCGUGAAGGACGAAGGUGCCAAGCAUUGUAAACUUCUUUUGUCAAGGGACAAAAUCAGGCUCGAGAGCCUGAACGAGGGUACUUGAAGAAAAAGCAUCGGAUAACUCCGUGCCAGCAGCCGCGUUAAGACGGAGGAUGCGAGCGUUAUCCGGUUUUAUUGGGUUUAAAGGGUGCGUAGGCGGACGUUUAAGUCAGCGGUAAAAGCCCGGGGCUCAACCCCGGCGAGCCGUUGAAACUGGCUGUGUUUAGAUGUCGUGUGGUAUGGGGAAUGCGCAGUGUAGCGGUGAAAUGUUUAGAUAUUGCGCAGAACUCCGAUUGCGAAGGCAGCAUACCGGCGGCGAUCUGACGCUGAGGCACGAAAGCGUGGGUAUCGAACAGGAUGAGAUACCCGAGUAGUC
Molecule: ribosomal RNA, 459 nt
Filed under: uncultured bacterium
Lineage: Bacteria
Description: partial 16S ribosomal RNA
Rfam family: Bacterial small subunit ribosomal RNA
Source: RNAcentral